RNAcentral lists this ribosomal RNA (253 nucleotides) under uncultured bacterium. Its description in RNAcentral is "partial 16S ribosomal RNA". It matches the Rfam family "Bacterial small subunit ribosomal RNA", at positions 524 to 776 of the family's 1533-position model. The record is from RNAcentral.
UACGAAGGGGGCUAGCGUUGCUCGGAAUCACUGGGCGUAAAGGGCGCGUAGGCGGUCUUUUAAGUCGGGGGUGAAAGCCUGUGGCUCAACCACAGAACUGCCUUCGAUACUGGGAGACUUGAGUUCGGAAGAGGUUGGUGGAACUGCGAGUGUAGAGGUGAAAUUCGUAGAUAUUCGCAAGAACACCGGUGGCGAAGGCGGCCAACUGGGCCGACACUGACGCUGAGGCGCGAAAGCGUGGGGAGCAAACGGG